GCAUCUAUACGGUGAACUGCGAAUGGCUCAUUAAAUCAGUUAUCGUUUAUUUGAUAGUACCUUACUACAUGGAUAACCGUGGUAAUUCUAGAGCUAAUACAUGCUAAAAACCCCGACUUCGGGAGGGGUGUAUUUAUUAGAUAAAAAACCAACGCCCUUCGGGGCUUCUUGGUGAUUCAUAAUAACUUAACGAAUCGCAUGGCCUUGCGCCGGCGAUGGUUCAUUCAAAUUUCUGCCCUAUCAACUUUCGAUGGUAGGAUAGUGGCCUACCAUGGUAUCAACGGGUAACGGGGAAUUAGGGUUCUAUUCCGGAGAGGGAGCCUGAGAAACGGCUACCACAUCCAAGGAAGGCAGCAGGCGCGCAAAUUACCCAAUCCCGACGCGGGGAGGUAGUGACAAUAAAUACUGAUACAGGGCUCUUUUGGGUCUUGUAAUUGGAAUGAGUACAAUUUAAAUCCCUUAACGAGGAACAAUUGGAGGGCAAGUCUGGUGCCAGCAGCCGCGGUAAUUCCAGCUCCAAUAGCGUAUAUUAAAGUUGUUGCAGUUAAAAAGCUCGUAGUUGAACCUUGGGCCUGGCUGGCCGGUCCGCCUCACCGCGUGCACUGGUCCGGCCGGGCCUUUCCUUCUGGGGAGCCGCAUGCCCUUCACUGGGUGUGUCGGGGAACCAGGACUUUUACUUUGAAAAAAUUAGAGUGUUCAAAGCAGGCCUUUGCUCGAAUACAUUAGCAUGGAAUAAUAGAAUAGGACGUGCGGUCCUAUUUUGUUGGUUUCUAGGACCGCCGUAAUGAUUAAUAGGGAUAGUCGGGGGCAUCAGUAUUCAAUUGUCAGAGGUGAAAUUCUUGGAUUUAUUGAAGACUAACUACUGCGAAAGCAUUUGCCAAGGAUGUUUUCAUUAAUCAGUGAACGAAAGUUAGGGGAUCGAAGACGAUCAGAUACCGUCGUAGUCUUAACCGUAAACUAUGCCGACUAGGGAUCGGGCGAUGUUAUCAUUUUGACUCGCUCGGCACCUUACGAGAAAUCAAAG
This 1024-nucleotide ribosomal RNA is filed under the name Pseudocenococcum floridanum. RNAcentral describes it as "SSU rRNA". It matches the Rfam family "Eukaryotic small subunit ribosomal RNA", at positions 69 to 1103 of the family's 1831-position model. The record is from RNAcentral. Lineage: Eukaryota; Fungi; Ascomycota; Dothideomycetes; Gloniales; Gloniaceae.